AAAGUUUUAGUAUAAAUUUUAGUAUAAAUCAUUGUCAAUGAUUAGGCAAAAACUUUA
This 57-nucleotide transfer RNA is filed under the name Cylicocyclus radiatus. RNAcentral's name for it is "tRNA-Asp". Lineage: Eukaryota; Metazoa; Nematoda; Chromadorea; Rhabditida; Strongylidae. The record is from RNAcentral.